Molecule: ribosomal RNA, 435 nt
Filed under: Triticum aestivum (bread wheat)
Lineage: Eukaryota; Viridiplantae; Streptophyta; Magnoliopsida; Poales; Poaceae
Description: partial small subunit ribosomal RNA
Source: RNAcentral
AUGCUCUCCCAGUUCGUUAAUGGCGUGAAAACUUUUCUGCUUGUGGCUGAGGCGAACAAUUGUGCGGAUGGUUUUAUGUCUUGUCCAUGUGUUGGCUGUAAGAAUGAUCAGAAUUACUCUAAGUCAAAAACCAUUCACUGGGACCUGUUUCAGUCUGGUUUCAUGCCCCACUAUAAUGUUUGGACCAAGCAUGGAGAAAGAGAGGUUAUGAUGGAAGACAAUGAAGAAGAAGAGGAGGAAGACAGCUAUCCUGGCCAUGGGUUCCCUGAAUAUGAUGGUACAACAAUGGGGGAAGAAGCUGAGCCGGCAAUGCGGGAAGAAGCUGAAGAAGAGGCAUCAGAUGAGCCCGCUGAUGAUCUAGGUCGGGCCAUUGCCGAUGCAAAGAGAAACUACGCAAGUGAAAAGGAGAAGAAGAAGUUGCAGCGCAUGUUAGAG